Molecule: small nuclear RNA, 132 nt
Filed under: Zea mays
Lineage: Eukaryota; Viridiplantae; Streptophyta; Magnoliopsida; Poales; Poaceae
Description: U2 spliceosomal RNA
Rfam family: U2 spliceosomal RNA
About the family: U2 is a small nuclear RNA (snRNA) component of the spliceosome (involved in pre-mRNA splicing).
Source: Rfam by way of RNAcentral
ACCUUUUUUUGGUCUUUUGGUUGAGAUCAAGUGUAAUAUUUGUUCUUAUCGAUUUAAUAUCUGGUAUAUGGACGAUAAGUUCACUUUGAUAUUAAAUUUAUUUUAUGGGUAUUUUUAGAGGGACCACCACAA